Molecule: ribosomal RNA, 301 nt
Filed under: uncultured bacterium
Lineage: Bacteria
Description: partial 16S ribosomal RNA
Rfam family: Bacterial small subunit ribosomal RNA
Source: RNAcentral
CAGCCGCCGCGGUAAUACGAAGGAUGCAAGCGUUACUCGGAAUUACUGGGCGUAAAGCGUGCGUAGGCGGUUUGUUAAGUCUGUUGUGAAAUCCCCGGGCUCAACCUGGGAAUGGCAAUGGAUACUGGCAAGCUAGAGUGUGUCAGAGGAUGGUGGAAUUCCCGGUGUAGCGGUGAAAUGCGUAGAGAUCGGGAGGAACAUCAGUGGCGAAGGCGGCCAUCUGGGACAACACUGACGCUGAGGCACGAAAGCGUGGGGAGCAAACAGGAUUAGAUACCCCCGUAGUCCCUGUCUCUUAUAC